CGACGGGGGGUGCUAGCGUUGUUCGGAAUUACUGGGCGUAAAGGGCGCGUAGGCGGCUCUGCGAGUCGGGCGUGAAAUCCCGGGGCUCAACCCCGGAACGGCGCUCGAUACUGCGGGGCUGGAGACCGGAAGAGGAGGGUGGAAUUCCCAGUGUAGAGGUGAAAUUCGUAGAUAUUGGGAGGAACACCGGUGGCGAAAGCGGCUCUCUGGUCCGGUUCUGACGCUGCGGCGCGAAAGCGUGGGGAGCAAACAGGAUUAGAAACCCCAGUAGUCC
This 274-nucleotide ribosomal RNA is filed under the name uncultured bacterium. RNAcentral describes it as "partial 16S ribosomal RNA". It matches the Rfam family "Bacterial small subunit ribosomal RNA", at positions 523 to 796 of the family's 1533-position model. The record is from RNAcentral.